This 345-nucleotide long non-coding RNA is filed under the name Volvox carteri. RNAcentral's name for it is "long non-coding RNA (VCAR_LNC001671)". Lineage: Eukaryota; Viridiplantae; Chlorophyta; Chlorophyceae; Chlamydomonadales; Volvocaceae. The record is from RNAcentral.
CGAGGUUAAGGCCUGACUUCUGCACCUGGCCGACCCGGGUUCAAAUCCGCCUGCCGGCUCCUCGGGUGUUUGAGGAGUGAUGAAAUGGGAGGUGGCCCCCCAUCAUAUGGACGGUGUAGGACGUGAUAAUAUCAACUUGCGAGCUAACCAGGAACUAAGUUGAUGCGCCGUUGAUCCGCUAGAUUUGGUUGGAUGCUGGUGGUGAGUUGCCGAACCCAACGAAUACAUUCUGACGUCGGAUGGGGUGACGGAUUAGGGUGCCCCUCUAGCAGGGGAGAGCAGGGACUGCCCGGGAAAGGGGGCCGCUGGCGAAGUUAACCACCCUGUAACAACAUACAUACAAGC